CCAGACUCCUACGGGAGGCAGCAGUGAGGAAUAUUGGUCAAUGGGCGGGAGCCUGAACCAGCCAAGCCGCGUGAAGGAAGAAGGCGCCAGGCGUCGUAAACUUCUUUUGUCGGGGAGCAAAGCGAGUCACGUGUGACUCAUUGAGAGUACCCGAAGAAAAAGCAUCGGCUAACUCCGUGCCAGCAGCCGCGGUAAUACGGAGGAUGCGAGCGUUAUCCGGAUUUAUUGGGUUUAAAGGGUGCGCAGGCGGAGGUGCAAGUCAGCGGUCAAAUUGCGGGGCUCAACCCCGUACUGCCGUUGAAACUGCAUCCCUUGAGUGCGCGAGAAGUAUGCGGAAUGCGUGGUGUAGCGGUGAAAUGCAUAGAUAUCACGCAGAACUCCGAUUGCGAAGGCAGCGUACCGGCGCCCAACUGACGCUGAAGCACGAAGGCGUGGGUAUCGAACAGGAUUAGAUACCCGAGUA
This 463-nucleotide ribosomal RNA is filed under the name uncultured bacterium. Its description in RNAcentral is "bacterial SSU rRNA". It matches the Rfam family "Bacterial small subunit ribosomal RNA", at positions 331 to 792 of the family's 1533-position model. The record is from RNAcentral.